UUGCUCCCAUUUCUCAGCGGCGGACGGGUGAGUAACACGUGGGCAACCUGCCCUACAGACUGGGAUAACUCCGGGAAACCGGAGCUAAUACCGGGUAAUACAUAGCAUCGCAUGAUGCAACGUUGAAAGUUGGCCUUUGGCUAACACUGUAGGAUGGGCCCGCGGCGCAUUAGCUAGUUGGUAAGGUAACGGCUUACCAAGGCCACGAUGCGUAGCCGACCUGAGAGGGUGAUCGGCCACACUGGGACUGAGACACGGCCCAGACUCCUACGGGAGGCAGCAGUAGGGAAUCUUCCGCAAUGGACGAAAGUCUGACGGAGCAACGCCGCGUGAGUGACGAAGGCCUUCGGGUCGUAAAGCUCUGUUGUUAGGGAAGAACAAGUACCGUUCGAAUAGGGCGGUACCUUGACGGUACCUAACCAGAAAGCCACGGCUAACUACGUGCCAGCAGCCGCGGUAAUACGUAGGUGGCAAGCGUUGUCCGGAAUUAUUGGGCGUAAAGCGCGCGCAGGCGGUCUCUUAAGUCUGAUGUGAAAGCCCACGGCUCAACCGUGGAGGGCCAUUGGAAACUGGGGGACUUGAGUGCAGAAGAGGAGAGUGGAAUUCCACGUGUAGCGGUGAAAUGCGUAGAUAUGUGGAGGAACACCAGUGGCGAAGGCGGCUCUCUGGUCUGUAACUGACGCUGAGGCGCGAAAGCGUGGGGAGCGAACAGGAUUAGAUACCCUGGUAGUCCACGCCGUAAACGAUGAGUGCUAGGUGUUUGGGGGGGUUCCACCCUCAGUGCUGAAGUUAACACAUUAAGCACUCCGCCCGGGGGAGUACGACCGCAAGGUUGAAACUCAAAGGAAUUGACGGGGGCCCGCACAAGCAGUGGAGCAUGUGGUUUAAUUCGAAGCAACGCG
Molecule: ribosomal RNA, 902 nt
Filed under: Bacillus sp. (in: firmicutes)
Lineage: Bacteria; Bacillati; Bacillota; Bacilli; Caryophanales; Bacillaceae
Description: bacterial SSU rRNA
Rfam family: Bacterial small subunit ribosomal RNA
Source: RNAcentral